This 309-nucleotide unclassified non-coding RNA is filed under the name uncultured fungus. Its description in RNAcentral is "partial contains 5.8S ribosomal RNA, internal transcribed spacer 2, and large subunit ribosomal RNA". The stretch from base 1 to 52 matches the Rfam family "5.8S ribosomal RNA", at positions 103 to 154 of the family's 154-position model. Lineage: Eukaryota; Fungi. The record is from RNAcentral.
AACGCACCUUGCGCUCCCUGGUAUUCCGGGGAGCAUGUCUGUUUGAGUGUCAUGAACUCUUCAACCCCCCAGUUUCUUGUAGACUGUGUGGGUGUUUGGAUUUUGAGCGCUGCUGGUCUUCGGAUCUUAGCUCGUUCGUAAUACAUUAGCAUCUCUAAUUCGAAAUCGGAUUGACUCAGUGUAAUAGACUAUUCGCUGAGGACACGCUUUUAUUAGUGUGGCCGAAUGAGAUCUCAGUAGAAGCUUCUAAUUCUAUAAGUCAACUUUAGAUUAGACCUCAGAUCAGGCAGGAUUACCCGCUGAACUUAA